RNAcentral lists this ribosomal RNA (397 nucleotides) under uncultured bacterium. RNAcentral describes it as "bacterial SSU rRNA". It matches the Rfam family "Bacterial small subunit ribosomal RNA", at positions 30 to 417 of the family's 1533-position model. The record is from RNAcentral.
AGUGAACGCUGGCGGCAUGCCUAACACAUGCAAGUCGAACGGCAGCGCAGUCGUAGCAAUACGAUGGGCGGCGAGUGGGGGACGGGUGAGGAACACAUCGGAAUCUGCCCGGUUGUGGGGGAUAACGUAGGGAAACUUACGCUAAUACCGCAUACGAUCGAGAGAUGAAAGCGGGGGACCGUAAGGCCUCGCGCAGUCGGAUGAGCCGAUGUCGGAUUAGCUAGUUGGUGGGGUAAAGGCCUACCAAGGCGACGAUCCGUAGCUGGUCUGAGAGGAUGAUCAGCCACACUGGGACUGAGACACGGCCCAGACUCCUACGGGAGGCAGCAGUGGGGAAUAUUGGACAAUGGGGGCGAACCCUAGAUCCACGCAAUGCCGCCGUGUGUGAAGAAGGCCU